UCAUCCCUUUGUGACAUUAUGCCAGGGCAUCUUGUGUUUAGUUUUCUUUUUAGAUCUAUCCUGGUGCUUUCUGCUUUACAAUAUAUGGUCUACAAACAUGAAGCUGAUAAGAUCACACUUGAUGCUUCCACAUGUGGUUUGCUUACUUAAUGAACACAUUAUGUUUGGAAAUGUUUGUCCGCUUAUAGACAUAGAUCAUUGAAGAGUAAAAUGCAUCCCUACAAAUAUUAGAGGGUCUCAAGUUAAUCCUAAAACUUUCAAAACUGCAGAUUCGGGCUCUAAAACUAGUUUACUGGGAGCCCUAAGCAGCCCAGAUCAGCAUUGACUUGUUCACAUGUCAUUUUUUUUGCAGAAAGGACCUUAUAUAGGGUAGCCUAUUUGCCUUCUGACAUCGAAAUGCAUCUUACGUGUUCCCCGCAUAAGUCGGCUUAGAGGCAUCAGCUUUUUGUUGUGCACCGUGUGUGCGGCACGCCGUCGAUGUACCUCGUCCACUUCGGCGCGUCUAAAGCACGCAACACACUGAACCAUCUAUGCACCGCUACUGUGGUGCCCACGCAAGUUAUCAUAGCCACGGUGCCUGCAGAUUUAGCUCUACUCUGGUAGCCUCAGUCAUGCUCUCAACCUAUGCAUCGCAGAUAUCACGAUCACCAUUUAUUUUUGUGCUCAUCAUGCCGGUACGUGGCCACCGAGAUCAGCUUCUUCCGCCCUGCACAAAUGGCGCUCAUUCGCUAGACCCAGAGGUGCACGUCUGCUUCUCUGGACUGGGUUGAACACCAUCUUAGGCACCACCAUGUGCUCAGACCACGUUCUUGCUACUCGUGUCGCACCUGAAAACUGCACCGCCGGCCCCAGGAUUUCGUGACAACCGACAGUGGCAGCUGCCUGGACCCGCUACACAGAAUGUCAAGAACAUUCCUCAUCCAGCUCCGUCUGCUUGCCAUGGAGCUGUCACUGCCAGCAAUGGCCAAGGAGACACAAGUUGGUCACUAGGUGACAGAUCGUGAACCGCUCUAGACAGGCGUUUCGCGAGGCGAACUUCUGCCUUCUUCUUCCGCCGGUGAGGCUGCGGGUCCUCGACCCCUCCGCCCGUCGCUCCGGCAGCGGGAGGGGCCGGGGCCGGGGCCUGGGACCCCGGUGAUUCCGUUCCGGCGUGUAGUUUGAUUAGGCCUAGUCUUCCUUGGAGGCGCCACAUCACUGGCGGGAUCGACGCCGCGUCGGAAUAAGAUGGUCCUGCUUUUCCCCCACCUCGGUGAUGCUUCAAUUGGUAGCGCUGGGAGGCAGUUGGCCCCCGUGUCUCGCCGGAUUUCAGAUCUGACGAUGUUUGGUUGUGCUGGCCGGCGUUCGCCUAAUAUACUUAGUUUAACCUGUAUCUGUUUUAAUUCUGUUCUUUAUCCUACUAGUUUUUUCUUUGCCAAAUUACCCGAAGCUUAUGCUAUUUUCAAUCCAAUCGUGGAUAUUAUGCCUGUUAUACCUCUAUUCUUUUUUCUAUUAGCCUUUGCUUGGCAAGCUGCUGUAAGUUUUCGAUGAAAUCUUUAGUACUCUGUAUGCCAAAUUGAAUGAUGUGUUCAUUCCAAAAAAAAUUCAAAAAUGGGUAAAAGCCGAGAAGUUUUAUAUUUUUAUAUUAUGAACCUUCGAUUCUAAAAUUUAAAUUCUUCUACAUUGAAUGGGUAGCUACAGCAAUAAAUUUGGAUCAGCCUUUCUACUCCCCUGCACCUAGGUUGAGCAGGUAUAAAAAAAAACAUCCUAGUGGAUCCGUGUGGUAAGGAAAAACUGGUAAUCUAUUCCUUAAAAAAAAUCUUGGAGAUUAUGUAAUGCUUACUCUCAAACUUUUUGUUUAUACAGUAGUGAUAUUCUUUGUUUCACUCUUUAUCUUUGGAUUCUUAUCUAAUGACUCAGGACGGAAUCCUGGAUGCGAGGAGUAAAAAUUCAGUUUUUUUUUCUUAUUGGAUUUGUUUCAUACAUUUAUCUAUGAGAAAAUCCGGGGGUCAGAAUUCUUUCCAAUUUGAAAGUCCCAAAUGAUCCAAGGGAGCGGAAAGAGAGGGAUUCGAACCCUCGGUACAAAAAAAUUGUACAACGGAUUAGCAAUCCGCCGCUUUAGUCCACUCAGCCAUCUCUCCACGUUCCAAAGCGAAAGGUUUCCGUGAUAUGAUAUAGGCAAGAAAUAAGAAAUAACGGUUGCAAAAAACCCCCUUUUUUCUUUCAAAAGUCUAUAAAAAUUAUAUUGCCAAUUCCAUUUUAAUUAUAUUCUUUUUUCUUAAUGUUAAUAAAAAAAGAAGAAAAUUCUUGUUUUUUCUUUCUAAAAAUCGAUAUUGGCCGAGAGACAAUCAAAUAGAUUUUCUCUUUAGCGGGCAUUUCCAUAUAGGACUUGUUAUAAUUAUAAUAAAACAAGCAGGUUAUAUAAAAAA
Molecule: long non-coding RNA, 2405 nt
Organism: Triticum aestivum (bread wheat)
Lineage: Eukaryota; Viridiplantae; Streptophyta; Magnoliopsida; Poales; Poaceae
Exons: 2
Source: RefSeq, a predicted model, not a curated record